Long non-coding RNA from Aethalodelphis obliquidens (Pacific white-sided dolphin), 859 nucleotides. RefSeq lists it as uncharacterized. The record is from RefSeq and is a predicted model, not a curated record. The transcript has 2 exons. NCBI's taxonomy places the organism in Eukaryota, Metazoa, Chordata, Mammalia, Artiodactyla, Delphinidae.
AUAUGUGAAUUGCAAAUAUUUCCUCCUGUUAGAUUGAAGGAGACUGAAGAGACAUGACAACACAUGAUCCUGACCUGGAUUUUAUUGCUAUGCAGGAUAUACUGGGACACUUGGCAAAACUUCAGUAGGGUCUUUUAAGGGUAUAUUUCAGUUCUUUGCAAUGUUCCUGAAUCUUUUCUAUAAAUAUGAAAUUAUUUCAAAAUAAAAAAAUAAAAUACUUAAAAUACAAAAAAAAAAAGAACUUUGAUUCAAAGAGUUUAAGAACAGAAAGUGUUAGUCACUAUGAUAGUUGGCUAAAAAUUGUGAUCUCACUGUUACUUAGAAGUUUCUUACAAGGAAUGCUUAAAAAGAACACAUUAUUGAUCCAUUUUUAUGCCCUCUUCAAUUGUAUUUGAAUGAAUUAAGCUUCUUGUUUGGAGGAACCCUGUAAAUGAUUAAAUAAUUGGGUCUAGGCCAUGGUUACUGGUGCUCCUUAAAAUUUUUUUAAUCAAUUUGUUCUUUUCAGCUUCUGAGAUCCAGAAAUGUCACUGUUGAUGUGAUUUCAGUGUUGAUGAAAUAAACUUCUAAUAGUAUCCUGCCAAGAGAUUCAUCAUCAAGAGAUGAACAUAGCAUACUUGUGCAUUCUAAUAGAAUAUUGAGGUUGGAAGAAAUAACUGAUUCACUAUUUCCAUUUUUGACCAAAAAAAUGACCAUGUAAUGUCCAACCAUGAUGGAGCCAGAUUUAAACUUGGAUCAACAAUUGGAUCGUUUCAAAUUUUAGAAAGUUAGAAAAACAUUAAUGACCACAGGAAAAUUCCGUUUAGUGGUAGUUGCUUGGCUGAUUAAAUCUUAAUCUCCCUAAUGCUGAAAGGCACUUUGG